Molecule: transfer RNA, 75 nt
Filed under: Chloroflexi bacterium RBG_16_72_14
Lineage: Bacteria; Bacillati; Chloroflexota
Also listed under: 11 other names
Description: tRNA-Gln
Rfam family: tRNA
About the family: Transfer RNA (tRNA) molecules are approximately 80 nucleotides in length.
Source: RNAcentral
UGGCGCGUGGCUCAACGGUAGAGCACCUGACUCUGGAUCAGGGGGUUCCAGGUUCGAAUCCUGGCGCGCCAGCCA